Molecule: ribosomal RNA, 253 nt
Filed under: uncultured bacterium
Lineage: Bacteria
Description: partial 16S ribosomal RNA
Rfam family: Bacterial small subunit ribosomal RNA
Source: RNAcentral
UACGUAGGGUGCGAGCGUUAAUCGGAAUUACUGGGCGUAAAGCGUGCGCAGGCGGUUUUGUAAGCCAGAUGUGAAAUCCCCGGGCUCAACCUGGGAACUGCAUUUGGGACUGCAAGGCUUGAGUACGGCAGAGGGGGGUAGAAUUCCUGGUGUAGCAGUGAAAUGCGUAGAUAUCAGGAGGAAUACCGAUGGCGAAGGCAGCCCCCUGGGUCAAGAUUGACGCUCAUGCACGAAAGCGUGGGGAGCAAACAGG